CUGACAACGACUCUAUGGGGGCAUCAGCAUA
This 31-nucleotide non-coding RNA is filed under the name Homo sapiens (human). The record is from RNAcentral. Lineage: Eukaryota; Metazoa; Chordata; Mammalia; Primates; Hominidae.